CCGCCCCUGGCAGCCCGGCUGGGACCGGGGAAAUGGAAGGCACAAGAGAUGUGGUGGCCCGAAGCACCCACGUGGUGGGGUUUUGUACCGUGGAAAGCCAGGGAUCACAACAGCUGGCUAAGAAUUCCCACUGCAGCAUGUACACAAAGAGCAAGAGGCAACGCCUUGAAAAAUUUACAGUAGGAAAGACAGACCCUAAGGAAUGGGACUUACCAUGUA
Long non-coding RNA from Chiroxiphia lanceolata (lance-tailed manakin), 219 nucleotides. RefSeq lists it as uncharacterized. Lineage: Eukaryota; Metazoa; Chordata; Aves; Passeriformes; Pipridae. The record is from RefSeq and is a predicted model, not a curated record. The transcript is spliced from 3 exons.